RNAcentral lists this ribosomal RNA (494 nucleotides) under uncultured bacterium. RNAcentral's name for it is "partial 16S ribosomal RNA". It matches the Rfam family "Bacterial small subunit ribosomal RNA", at positions 28 to 507 of the family's 1533-position model. The record is from RNAcentral.
GACGAACGCUGGCGGCGUGCUUAACACAUGCAAGUCGAACGGCAAGGCCUGCUUUCCCUUGUGGUUUGCGGGUCCUCGAGUGGCGAACGGGUGAGUAACACGUGAGUGAUCUGCCCCCAACUUGGGUAUAAGCCUGGGAAACUGGGUCUAAUCCCCGAUAGUACUGCAGGGUGGUGCCUGUGGUGGAAAAUGAUUUUCUAGUGUUUGGGGAUGAGCUCGCGGCCUAUCAGCUUGUUGGUGGGGUAAUGGCCUACCAAGGCGGCGACGGGUAGCCGGCCUGAGAGGGUGGACGGCCACAUUGGGACUGAGAUACGGCCCAGACUGCUACGGGAGGCAGGAGUGGGGGAUAUUGCAGAAUGGGCGGAAGCCUGAUGCAGCGACGGCGCGUGGGGGAUGACGGGCUUCGAGUGGUAAACUCCUUUCGACCGCGAGGAAGCCACCUGGUUGGAAGGGUGGUGACGGUAGUGGUAGAAGAAGCACCGGCUAACUACGUG